AAAACAAAAAAAAAAUGGUGAAGUUCUAUUGUAUUGAUAAUUUUCUGUGCUACUUUUUUCCUACCUACUUUGUUAGAAUUUGUAACUUACAAGUUCAUCGAUUCGAGCCCUACUUCACCAUUUUGCGUCGAUAUUCUACUGGUAAAACUUCCAGAACCAUUAUGUGUUUUGGAUAGAGCCAAAAUGAUAAAAAGUUUGUGGAUAAUGUGUUAGAUGUUGAUCGACUUUGUGUGUAACUCAUACUCAUACUAAGAGAUGCAAGCAACAAUAAGAUGCAAGCAACAAUAACAAGUCUCCCGAUGAAUGUUCCAGUCCGAGAGUUGGAAACAAUGCGUCUGUAUAAGUUGUGGAAUAUCUUUGGGAAGGCAUACAAGAAGACAAAAUCACAGGCCAUAAGCUUAUGGAAAGAAAUGAAGAGUGACAUUAUAUAGAAAAACAAAAAUAUCUCCGAGACAGAUUCCUGAUGGAUGCUCAUGUAUGCGUUGUUUGCAGGAUGAGCUCACCUCAAAAGUAUUAAUAUUAUCUAGUGAACAUAAGAGCUGUGUUAAGUGUGCCGUUCCAUUGCAUUGUAUGUAGUUAGUAGCUAUUUAUGUUCAUAAAUGUUGUUAAACUAUGUGCUAUUAAAAAAUCACUUUAUAAUUUAUAUUAUAAUUUAUAUUAUCAUAUCAUUGGCCCCGAUUCCUGUAGACACCGCCUAAUUUUAUUUUAAGUUAUAUCCGUCAGUUUCAUAUCCGUCGAAAAGGAAAGGGACGGAUGAUUCACAGCUCUUAAUUUUAGGAAGAAUGAGUAAAUGAAUGAAUAACCCGGGCGAAUCAAAAAGGUACGUCACUGGUAUGCAAUCCGUUUGACAUGCUGUCUACUAACUGUGUCGGGUUAUUGACUGAUGUAAAAUUUUUAGACGGUUGUUUUAGAUUUGUGCUUAAAAUUGACGUGUGUUCCAUAAAUUUUAUGCUUGUCGAUUACCCGUCCCUUUCCUUUU
Molecule: long non-coding RNA, 979 nt
Organism: Pectinophora gossypiella (pink bollworm)
Lineage: Eukaryota; Metazoa; Arthropoda; Insecta; Lepidoptera; Gelechiidae
Exons: 3
Source: RefSeq, a predicted model, not a curated record